AGAGAGCUGAACCGCCAUGAACUCUACUUUCCGUCUACUAGGCCUACUACUUAACGCAUCUUGUUUGCGCGGUAUGCCGGUGGACGCAGUUCAGAGCUGAUUCAGCCCACCUCAUAACAAACCCGCGCUACUGCGCGGGUUUUUUU
Molecule: non-coding RNA, 146 nt
Organism: Serratia proteamaculans 568
Lineage: Bacteria; Pseudomonadati; Pseudomonadota; Gammaproteobacteria; Enterobacterales; Yersiniaceae
Source: Rfam